GGGGAUGUGGCUUAGUGGUACAGUACUUGCCUAGCAUGCAUGAAACCUUGGGUUCAAUUCCUCAGUUCCA
This 70-nucleotide transfer RNA is filed under the name Dipodomys ordii (Ord's kangaroo rat). It matches the Rfam family "tRNA". Rfam says of the family: Transfer RNA (tRNA) molecules are approximately 80 nucleotides in length. Lineage: Eukaryota; Metazoa; Chordata; Mammalia; Rodentia; Heteromyidae. The record is from Rfam by way of RNAcentral.